GAUCCUGCUCAGGACGAACGCUGGCGGCGUGCUUAACACAUGCAAGUCGAACGAAGAGCGAUGGAAGCUUGCUUCUAUCAAUCUUAGUGGCGAACGGGUGAGUAACGCGUAAUCAACCUGCCCUUCAGAGGGGGACAACGAGUUGGAAACGACUGCUAAUACCGCAUACGAUCCAAUCUCGGCAUCGAGACUGGAUGAAAGGUGGCCUCUAUUUAUAAGCUAUCACUGAAGGAGGGG
This 237-nucleotide ribosomal RNA is filed under the name uncultured bacterium. RNAcentral describes it as "partial 16S ribosomal RNA". It matches the Rfam family "Bacterial small subunit ribosomal RNA", at positions 15 to 229 of the family's 1533-position model. The record is from RNAcentral.